RNAcentral lists this long non-coding RNA (564 nucleotides) under Elaeis guineensis (African oil palm). RNAcentral describes it as "long non-coding RNA (EGUI_LNC038658)". Lineage: Eukaryota; Viridiplantae; Streptophyta; Magnoliopsida; Arecales; Arecaceae. The record is from RNAcentral.
CACUACAUGUAUUUUAUACACAAUUAUAUGGACUUCAAGAAAAGAAAAUUUACACCCUUUUUUUUUUGAGAAAAUGAGAAGAUUUACGCCCAUGAUAAAAUGGUACAUGUUACAUUUCCUUCUAGUGGUUCCAUUGCAUGGACCUUAUCUCAUGCAAAACAAUAGAGAAUACAAUGAGAAUAAAAUUGCAUAAACCAUGGAAAAAAGAAAAGAAAGAAAAAGAAAAGACGCCAUAAGCUUCAUGAGUUUCUGAUCAUCUUCAUGGAUUAAGGAGGACAAGUUCCGUGACGGAUGUUGGGGUUGCUGGUGCAGCCUGAUGCCCCUGAAGGAUUUCCCGAACCCUUCGGAAGGGAUUCCAGCAAGAGCCCAACGUUCUCUGGCCACCACUCUCCAUUCAAAGGCCUCACCGCCAUGAGAGGAUGCAAGCUUGAGAUCACCAAGACAAGAAGCAGCAGCUCUCUUGAACACAGACCCAUUUUAGUGAAGAAGAGAGAGUUGUUGAUGCUCCUGUAUGGGUUUCUUAUAUUGAAGGAUUAUAGGACGGUUGGUCGGAAGAUCUCUGAU